CAGCCGCCGCGGGAAUACGAAGGGUGCAAGCGUUAACCGGAAUUACUGGGCGUAAAGCGUGCGUAGGCGGUGAGUUAAGUCUGCUGUGAAAUCCCCGGGCUCAACCUGGGAAUGGCAGUGGAUACUGGCAAGCUAGAGUGUGUCAGAGGAUGGUGGAAUUCCCGGUGUAGCGGUGAAAUGCGUAGAGAUCGGGAGGAACAUCAGUGGCGAAGGCGGCCAUCUGGGACAACACUGACGCUGAGGCACGAAAGCGUGGGGAGCAAACAGGAUUAGAUACCCCGGUAGUCCCUGUCUCUUAUAC
RNAcentral lists this ribosomal RNA (301 nucleotides) under uncultured bacterium. RNAcentral's name for it is "partial 16S ribosomal RNA". It matches the Rfam family "Bacterial small subunit ribosomal RNA", at positions 509 to 807 of the family's 1533-position model. The record is from RNAcentral.